Molecule: ribosomal RNA, 450 nt
Filed under: uncultured bacterium
Lineage: Bacteria
Description: bacterial SSU rRNA
Rfam family: Bacterial small subunit ribosomal RNA
Source: RNAcentral
GUGGGGAAUAUUGGACAAUGGGCGAAAGCCUGAUCCAGCCAUGCCGCGUGUGUGAAGAAGGUCUUCGGAUUGUAAAGCACUUUAAGUUGGGAGGAAGGGCAGCAAGUUAAUACCUUUCUGUUUUGACGUUACCGACAGAAUAAGCAUCGGCUAACUUCGUGCCAGCAGCCGCGGUAAUACGAAGGGUGCAAGCGUUAAUCGGAAUUACUGGGCGUAAAGCGCGCGUCGGUGGUUUUGGAAGUUGGAGGUGAAAUCCCCGGGCUCAACCAGGGAGAUGCAUGCAAAACUGCAUUACUAGAGUACGUUAGAGGGUAGUGGAAUUUCAUGUGUAGCGGUGAAAUGCGUAGAUAUAGGAAGGAACACCAGUGGCGAAGGCGACUACCUGGACUGAUACUGACACUGAGGUGCGAAAGCGUGGGGAGCAAACAGGAUUAGAUACCCGGGUAGUCC